This 672-nucleotide ribosomal RNA is filed under the name Triticum aestivum (bread wheat). Its description in RNAcentral is "partial small subunit ribosomal RNA". The record is from RNAcentral. Lineage: Eukaryota; Viridiplantae; Streptophyta; Magnoliopsida; Poales; Poaceae.
AUGGCGACGCAAGACGUUCCAGGAGGAUCUCGGAAAGGAAAAGAGCCGGUCGAAGAUCUGCUAAGUAGAUUGAAUCUAUAGGAGGAGGAGGAGGACAAGUUUGUGUGGGAGGAGGAAUUCAAGGAUGAGCCGGUUGCGGUGAAGUGGCUCGCCAUCGCAAAAGUGCACACAAACAAGAGUUUUAGUCCGUCAGCGCUAUACUCCGACAUGCGGGCAGCCUGGAACCCCGCAAGAACUGUUCGCUGGCGUAAGAUCGAGGACAACCUCUUUACAGUCCAGUUCGGAUGCCUAGGGGAUUGGAAUACGACCAUGAAUAUGGGGCCAUGGCUGUUUCGAGAUCAGGGUCUGCUGUUAGCGGAAUAUGAUGGAUUCGUAAACCCUAGAACGAUAAAGCUAGAUACGAUUGCUGUCUGGGCGAGAAUCCUCAAACUACCGGAUAACUUCCUUAUUCCGGCAGCUAUAAGAGGCAUGUGCAGAAGAAUGGGUAAAAUCUUGGAAGUUCAGACUACCCUCCCAGCAGGGUUUGUAGGAGAGUUCGUGAGAGUUAAGGUGGAACUGAAUGUUGGCAGAAAGCUCAUUAGAUUUGUGUCGGUGACUAAAGGAGAGAAUACUGAUUACUAUCAGGUUCAGUACGAGAAAAUUCCAUUUUCUGUGGCAAUUGUGGAAUGUUAG